This 920-nucleotide ribosomal RNA is filed under the name uncultured archaeon. RNAcentral's name for it is "bacterial SSU rRNA". It matches the Rfam family "Archaeal small subunit ribosomal RNA", at positions 1 to 922 of the family's 1478-position model. The record is from RNAcentral.
UUCCGGUUGAUCCUGCCGGAGGUCAUUGCUAUUGGAGUCCGAUUUAGCCAUGCUAGUCGUACGAGCUUAGACUCGUGGCGAAUAGCUCAGUAACACGUGGCCAAACUACCCUGUCGAUCGGGAUAACCUCGGGAAACUGAGGCUAAUACCGAAUACGGCUCGAUGCCUGGAAUUGGCUCGAGCUCGAAACGCUACGGCGCGACAGGAUGUGGCUGCGGCCGAUUAGGUAGACGGUGGGGUAACGGCCCACCGUGCCGAUAGUCGGUACGGGUUGUGAAAGCAAGAGCCCGGAGACGGAAUCUGAGACAAGAUUCCGGGCCCUACGGGGCGCAGCAGGCGCGAAACCUUUACACUGCACGAGAGUGCGAUAGGGGGACUCCAAGUGCGAGGGCAUACAGUCCUCGCUUUUGUACACCGUAAGGUGGUGUACGAAUAAGUGCUGGGCAAGACCGGUGCCAGCCGCCGCGGUAAUACCGGCAGCACGAGUGAUGACCGCUAUUAUUGGGCCUAAAGCGUCCGUAGCCGGCCGGGCAAGUCCAUCGGGAAAUCCGCACGCCUAACGUGCGGGCGUCCGGUGGAAACUGCUUGGCUUGGGACCGGAAGACCCGGGGGGUACGUCUGGGGUAGGAGUGAAAUCCCGUAAUCCUGGACGGACCGCCGGUGGCGAAAGCGCCUCGGGAAGACGGAUCCGACGGUGAGGGACGAAAGCUAGGGUCACGAACCGGAUUAGAUACCCGGGUAGUCCUAGCCGUAAACGAUGUCUGCUAGGUGUGGCGCUGGCUACGAGCCAGCGCUGUGCCGUAGGGAAGCCGUGAAGCAGACCGCCUGGGAAGUACGUCUGCAAGGAUGAAACUUAAAGGGAUUGGCGGGGGAGCACUACAACCGGAGGAGCCUGCGGUUUAAUUGGAUUCAACGCCGGA